ACUUAAUUGCCAAAAACAUUUUGUUUUGAGACAUAUUAGACCAAAUGAAACCCUUCCAUUGCAUGGCGCAGGGGGCAGAAAAGCACAGUAAAUAGGUGAAGUGAGUCUGGGAAUUCUACAUGCGUAGUAGUUUCCCUCCAAGCCAAAUAGUCUCCUUACUUAGUUUGUUGUUACUUAUUUUCAUACAUUUGCAUUGCAGCAGUGCCUACGAGCACCAGUAGUUUUGGGUCCCAUCCCGUAAGGGCUGUACAAACAGACAGAUAGACACGUCUGCCAGCAUCCAUGGAUUCUGCUCCCAGAUAGGGUCCACGCCAGAACCUGUGUCCCUUUUGAGCUGCUACUAAAGGUCCUUCACCCUCUGCAAGCCCAGACACAGACCAGCAGGAACCUGGGAUUCCGAACUGUCUGGAGCAAUUCAAAGAGGAAGUGCUUCCAUGAUGAACUUAUGGUGGACAUCCAGGACAAGGCCAACAACCAGUACAAUACCAAAGGGAAAAGAGUUCAUGGCAAGUGGAAAGGCACAGACAGGCUACAGCGCACGUCGGAGUGAAUUGCAGGAAAACCCUGGCAUCAUGAACUUUUCCAUGGCAGGCCCACUUGUGGCGUCCAUAAAUCAGGCUCUGUGGUUCACAAGGGCCUGUGUAAUAAUGGAGUAGUACAUUUUGUGGUUCAUGUACUCAUGUGCUCUUUGAGCGGGGCAAACUGUGUGCCCGUGAUUGCCAUCAGUGGCCCCAGUGAAGUUUGGAAACCCCAUUCUCUCAAAACCAGCUAUUCUGAACACCAAAAAUACAGCAUAGAUUUCAAGAUGAUACUUCUCGGUAACAAUAAAGCAAUACACUCUGAAAAGCAGCCAACUGUAGUAAAAAAAACCUUGUCCAGUUCAACAUUAAUGAUUAAAUCUAGAAAUAAAAAAAACCAAAAAGAACUUCUUUAGCAUGCAAUCUAAUAAAAUAAAUUAUCAAUUUUACUAUCGAUUUGCAGUAGACAAAACAUGAUUCACUUAAUGUUGUAACAUGCUGGGGAGGAGAACUAAGUAUUUUAUUAUUAAACAUGGUAAACUCACUAACAUGCAUUGUGACACCAUUGAACUUACAAAUAGUUUUAGGUUAGGGAUCAUUUACUGGUCAUGCCAGUAAACAAAUAUUGCUCAAGUCAUUUAGGAAAUGUUGUUCCCUGUGACAACAUCCACCAGCAAAUUACACAGGCCUGCUAUUUAUUACCACUUACGUGAUAUUAUGUUCUGCACAGUUUAGCCUGUCUCCACACUAAUCCUUAAGGUGUGUUGUUCUUUAAACAUCUAUUUUGAGUUUAUAUUCAAGUUGGCUGUAGUGCUACACAGCUGACAGCAUGGCAGUGGGGAGUGGCUGAUCGUUACCAACUUGUGCCUGUAACGUAUUGUACUGUACUACUGCGACUCACAUAUGCCAACUUGAACUGACUAAAAAAAUGUAUUGUCACUUCAGUUUCUUUAUUGUCAAAAUGUGGAAUGGAGGGGCCAUAAUGAACCUUCUUUCUGACUGUUGCGUGUCAACAAAAUCUUCAAACAAAAGAAGGAAAAUCUGUUGUGGACAAGUAAAAUGCUAUGUAUAGUUGCUAAAUAUUGGUGGAAAGUGGUCUUCCCUCUUCUGCCCCUGCACCCAUCUACAGUUUAUUUUCACUAUCAUGCAAUAGUGCAAAUAAACUUUUAUUUUUUUAAACAGAAAAAUCUCUAGAGGCGAAGCCUGGGGAAGCUUGGCUCUGGAUCUAAACUUGGCAGCUCAAACAACAUCUACUCUUUUUGUUUGUUUUUAAGAAUUUGCUUCUAAUGGAGCUCUUGAAAUGAGGGUCAAAGUUCAGAGAGAGAGGCUGGAGGACUUUAUUAGUAUUCUCAAGACCCUGUCUUGAAGUUUAAAUUUUAAAUGGGAAGUGUGACAUUUCCAGAACUCUUUGUGGGUUCAGUUGUACUUGAAUCUGAAUCAAGAAUCCUCUGUGUUCAUCUUGCCUAUCAGAAUUAAAAGCCACAGCAUGCAUGCUGUACACUUUGUAUAUCACCCUCCAGUUUGUAAACUUCAUGAAGUACACAUUCUGCAGCUAUGCUGCUGUGUAUUUGUGUUUCUGCAAGCAACAGUCUGAAUUAUCAGAUUUUCAGUCCUAGAAUACUGAAUUGUAAUGAAAUGGGCUUGGCAACUAGUUGUGAAUUUUAAGCAAACUGUGUAAAAUAAUCAGCUGCAUCUUAAGAAAGAAGCUCAAAAUCAGAUAUUUUUAAGUUCUGUUAAGAUUUCUUAUCUAGCCCUGUUAGGGAGUACACUCUAGAUUCAAAAUAAAAAUCAAAUUCUAGGUUGGUCAUUCAAGGUCAAGUAAAACUUAAUGCUAGGGUUUAUUCGAAGAAUACCACCAAUUAGCUACAAUCACCUUAUCAAAAUGUUGUGAUUAACGGAAUAGAAGCUGCACUCUGGGCAAGGAAGAUCAAUGCUGACAAUUUCCGAGGAAAGAAAAGGAGUACUUGUGGCACCUUAGAGACUAACAAAUUUAUUAGAGCAUAAGCUUUCAUGAGCUACAGCUCACUUCAUCUGGAGCAUUUGGUGGAAAAAACAGAGGGGAGGUUAUCAUACACACUGUAAGGAGAGUGUGAGAGCUUAAUAUAAGCCAUUUCCGAGGGUGUGGGUUUAGUAAGAUAUCAUUUGUCACACUCAGCAGUGCUGUUUCAGAAUUAUGCCGAGAUCAAAACCCUGAUUGGAAUCUAUCAAAUCAAUAAUUGCAGUUAGCCAAGUGCUGAGCAGUUGUGACGACAAAGCUUGCUGUGGGUACUGUGCUAUGAAAUGAAUAUCUGAAGCUGCUGCCAGUGUGUGACAAGCCCUGGGACAAGAUAGUAGCAGCAAGUAAGUGCAAACAACAAUAGCACUGGAAUAAUAUAAAAAGUUUAGGAAGUGAAAUUAACAGGCCAUUGAUAGAUAUUUAUUCUGAUAAGAGACAUUCAAGUAAACAUUUAGGUCUACUGCUUGUGAUUUAAACUCUCAAAACAUAUGCAGGGUAGUUUAGAUAUCUGCUCAUCUAAUCUCAUUAUAGAAGCUCAGUCCAGCUCCCAUUGAAUUCAAAGGAGCCUUGUCCUCACUGAGAUAUUCACAAUUCUCCCAUUGUUGGUCUAGCAUAGACCUAACAGAAGCCUGGGUCUUUAUAUUACUAUUUGCUGCUGGUAAUGCUGAAGGGCUGCAGCCAGGAAUCAGUGUGUUAGACACUGUACAAACACAUGUUAAAUAGAAACUCCCUGCCCCCAAAAGUUAACAUUAUCCCAAGUCUACACUAGUGACUUUAUCAUUGCUUGCCCCCAUGGAGCUACACUGGUGUUUAAACCAACUGGGGACAACAGCUUGGAUUCUCAGUGGGGAAGCAGCCUGGAAGCUGCCAUUUGUGUCAAUGGAAGUAGGUUCUAACCACCUAAAAAGAACUGUAUCCUUCCUAGCAUCAAGCCUUGUUCUCCUUAUUCAGGCAAGUUGUCCCAUUGAAGUCUUCAGUGUUAUUGAAAUCCUGUUGUUCAUCUCGUUGUCUCCUUCAUCUUUCCUACAUGCUUUUAACCUUUUAUCUUCAUUCUGCGGGAUUUUUUGGCUCUUCUGUACCUUUAUUAUCAUCUAAAUAUAGUAGCACUUCAGACUGUCUCUCUCACUGCUGUAACUUUGGCUGUCAUUAAUUGAUUUUGCAUGCAGUUAUACCUAGCUUGCAUUCUAAUCAACUUUGGCAGAUUAUGCUUUUAAUUAGUUCUUUAAUAUUUCUCCACUCUCAUUUGCAGUGACGGUGAUGCAUUGUAAGAAUCCUUCACAUGUGUCAUUGUGGUUGCAUCUUGAAAGAAAAAAAGUCUUCCAAAUGGUUUGGGUAUGAAAAAUAUACCCAAUUUAUCAUAAAUCAUGUUUUUAUCCUCUUCAGCUGGACUAGUGGAUAUGUUUAUGUGUUUUUUCCCCCGAUUGGAAUAAUACAUCACAAGUUACUUUUCCAUCAGGGGCAGGGAUUUGAUAAGCCCCCUACUAGAUCCACUCUCAACAGUAUUCUGCACAAAUUGUAAAUCCCUGGAUCUAUCAGAUCUCUAUCAAACAGUGCUGUAGGUUUGGUUCUCCACUGAUUUGUCCCGGUAUAGUUAUUUAAACCUUAAAAUGAGUGUUAUCAGGGUGAGGAAAUUGAUAGAUCAAACUACUUGUCUUCCAUCAUCCCAUUGUUUUCAGGAUUUCACCCACUGAAUAUAAAGAGCUCUGAAUAGUGCUAAGGUAUUAUGGGUCAAAUCUUGAGGUGCUUACUCGCUUGUUACUCAGUGUUUAUUCAGGCAAACUCCCACUGACGCGGAGGACUGAAUAAAAACAGAGUAAGGACCUCAGAAUUUGGCCCAUUCUUAAUAAUGAUUUGAAGUAUCUAUUACCUUUAAUACUCUCUGAUAGCCUGUGCUCUUAUCUACUUAAAUAUCAUUCUAAUUAACAUAAUGUUUUGUGUUAAAAAUGGGCAAUUUCUUGUCUGCCAACCUGUGUAUCUGACAGAUUAUUUGUAAAAACCUCCUUAUAGAAACACCUGGUUCAUUAAACUUUCACUGGUAGCUAUAUUCUCUGUCAGUUCUUUAUUGUUUGGAUUUAACAAUAAUUAGAAUGAUCACUGCUGCAGACAUUACCACCAUGAAAAGCACAUAUCCUGAGGAUAUCAAUUAUACCUAAAAUUAUGCCUCAUUUUUGUUAAGAUAUUAUUGAGAUGUGUUUUCACAUCACAUCAGACAUAUGGUACUGCCAUUAAAUACACUGGCAAAUAGUUCUGAGCCAUGGGGAAAUGUAUUCAUGGUAAUAAGGCCAAUAUUAAUUCACAUAUAGAAUUCUGAAUCUUUUUAAUUUUUACCCAUAGUAGGGUAUUUGAGCACAGUAUAUAUGUUUGAGUUCAGGGCUUGUGAGGUCAGCAGGGUUUCUUUUUUGAAGUUACCUAAAAUAGUUUUUCAUGAGGAAGACAUAGAAUGUGAAAUUCCAGCCCCAUUGAUAUCAAUGGCCAAAAUAACUUUGUCCCUGCUUGGUGGAGAUGUCUUGGAUCAAGUGCUUAAUGUUACAGGAUCAGCCCUGCAAAGGGCUGGACAUUUUGACCCUGAUCCAGCAAAGCAUUUCAGUAUGUUUUUAACGUUAAGCGUGUGAUAAUUGCCUUGAUGGUUCUGGACCAGAGUGCUCAGCACCUUGAAGGAUCAAGUCCUUAAGCCAGAACCUUUUGGAACAGUGAGGAAAAAAUUACAGCUGGGACUGGAACUAGGCAGGAAUAAUUUUUGUAGUGUCGUAUUUGUUGUGAGGUGGCUACAGUUUGAGUAUGCACAAGCCUAAACUGUGCUAUGUUUUUGCUGUUUACGAACCAUCUCUGUUCAAAGCCAUAUUCUGUAUGGAUAUUGGGCCAAAUCCUGGAGAUCUUACUCAUUCUAUUUAGCCAAAGUUCUCAUGAACUUUAGGGAAUGUCUAUACUGCAGUUGGGAGGUGUGAUUGCAGCACAUGUAGACAUACCCAAGUUAGUUUUGGCCCAGCUAAAUUCUAGUCCCCCAGCCUGUCCAGGACCAUGAAUACAUACUUGAGCAGCUGCAGCCUGUGGUGUCUUGACUUCACUGCUACUGUUACUUGAGAUAGCUUUUCUCUAGCUAGAUCUAAGCUUAAUAAGGCAUGUCUACACAUGCUGCAAUCAUACCUCCUGAGUAAGAACUGCAGGAUUUGGCCCACUGUACAUUAAACAGAUGAGGAUAAUUUAUUGUGUCUGUGUCCACUCUUGUAAAAAAGGAAAUAACCUAACUCCUAGGGUGAAAUCUUGGCCCCACUGAAACCAAUGGUGAAACUCCCAUUGACUUCAAGUGGGCAGGAUUUCACUUCUAGAGUCCAAAGCUUCAUGACUAUUCAGAAGUUCUGAUCAUUUUGAGUCACUGCCUUUUGCAUACUUUCUUGGGACACAGGUUAAAGGACAUACAGAAGUGUGAGGACCAGAGCUUCCUACUGAAUCAUUCUGGCUGUUGAUAAAGAAUAAAUAAUAGGGAAAGGAAGUCAACUCUUCAAGCUAAUGCUAAUCUCUGUGUGCAUCUAGUAUUCAAAUAAAAAGAGUUAUAAUUGCAUGGUAGUCCAGGUUCUAAGAAGGGAAACUAACAUAUCAUGUUUGGCUGUUCCUUAGGAGCCCAGGAACCUAAUAACUUAAUAUGUGUUUAAAGUACUUUUCUAAUAUGAUUCCCCCAUUUUUCUAACCAUAAAGUGCAACCUCAAUAUAGUAGGAAUGGUUUUGGACCCAUUUAGAAAUGUAUUAAUUAAAAAAAGAGUUCCUCUAAAGAGAGAAUUUACUGGAAACAAACAACAUAUCUUUAAAAAUCAAAGUUAUUUAAAUCAAUGAAGAGUUGCUUUCAGCAGCUUGUCCUUAUCCCCAGGUUUAAAUGAAAGCAACCCACAUCAGUUUAAUGUUCUUUCCAGUUACAAAAUCUCAGCCCUGGAAGUCUUUUCCUCUGCUGUACCACGAACUGCCAGAAAUAAAAGACAUUUCCCAUUUGCUGUCUGAAAACUGCAAACGAGAAAUCAUGUGUCACUCAGCUCUCAUGUCUGAAGCAUAGGCACAGUGAGCAAAAUAUUUUAAUGCUGCCUUCAUUUCAGACCUAUGUAUUCAGUACUGCCAAUGCCAAAGGCCCACCAAAACCACAAAAUUAAAAAAAAACCCAAAACUCAUAAUUUUUAAGCCAAUCUUGUUUCUUUUUAAUUUGCCUUCUCAUUUGUGAGUCUUUAAGGUACAUUUGGGUCACGUUUUCAAGCUUUUCUCUGCAACCAUCAGAAAUAGAAAGUUGAUUUUUUUUUAAUCGAUCAAAACUGAGUUUCUCAUCUAGUUUAGGUGCUGGAACUUUAAGGAAAAUGCCAAAUAUUGCAAGGAUCCCAAUAAAAUUGUAAGAAUGGACAAUAGUAUUAACUUCCAUUCAAAAAACCCAAUUGUGUUAAAACCACUUUGCGACCACAUUGCAAAGUCAAGCUCUCAAAAGUUAGGAAAAACGAAAUUAUAAUGCAAACUUAAUAAAAGUGUUGCUACUACUCCACCUGUAACAAUUGCAAGAAUCAGAUUUAAUUGACUACAGAGAUAUGGCAAUCUACACAGAAUACUAAUCAGAAUAGUCCUGCUAAUACUUUGUCAUUAAGAAUAACCUUAGUACUUAAUAAGAAAAGAGAGAUGUGUUAGUUGUGUUCAUCAACAUCGCUCCAGUUCAUUUUUUAUCAGUAUUUCUAUUACAACCCCCUAAUUCAAAUGGCUUCAUAAUUCAAGUUUUAUACAAAACUUUCACAAAAUCCUAUACUCUAUUUUACAUGUAAAUAAAAAGAAAGAACACAAAUUAAUCAGUGGCAUAAAACUAAGGCAAUGGAAAAGGGAGAUAUUGCACUGUAAUAUCAAGAUGCAAAGGUUAGCCUUCGAAGUGACAGCGUUGCCAGCAUAACUCUUCUCCCAGAUGUUGUCAUCCUGUUUCCUGUUCUACUUGUAUCACUUAGACUUUAAACAUUUUGGGGUAGAAUAUCUGUCUAUAUCUUUUCUGUAAUGUGACUUGCACAUCUAUGGCAUGAGAUGAAUAGUUUUGGUUUGAGUAAUUUUGAAAUCAACUGACUUGCUUCAUUUUCUGGUAGCAGCUUCUCAAGGAAAACAAUCCCUUGGCUAAAUUCCCAAACAUCAUCAAGUCAAUGGAAGCUGAUUGCUUUUGAUCAUUCAUUUUUGAUCAUUCACACAAUUAUGUAAGGGGGUGGGGGCACAUUUUGUAAAUCCAAAUAUGUAUUUUAUUAUUAGAGCUGGUCAAACUUCUCCAAAUUUUUGAUUUUUCAAUGAAGUUUUUCAUCAAAAUUUUGAGAUAUGAUUGGAAAAACAGGAUGAUUUUUGUACAAAUAUGCUAUGAAGGAGUCAUCUUGUUUUUUAACCAGCUAUGGGACCGAUCAAAGUUUUCUGAAUUUUGAAAUUUCAAUGAAAAAUUUUCUCAAAAUGUUGACAAUAAAAGGGAAAAUUUUUGCAAACAUUUAUGUGAAAUGUGUUCUCAUUUUUUUUAUC
This is a long non-coding RNA of Dermochelys coriacea (leatherback sea turtle), 8016 nucleotides long. RefSeq lists it as uncharacterized. Lineage: Eukaryota; Metazoa; Chordata; Testudines; Dermochelyidae. The transcript is spliced from 3 exons. The record is from RefSeq and is a predicted model, not a curated record.